GUCGAGAAUAAUUCACAAUGGGGGCAACCCUGAUGGUGCAACGCCGCGUGGAGGAUGAAGGUCUUCGGAUUGUAAACUCCUGUCAUCCGGGAGCAAGACCUGGCCGUGAAUAGCGGACAGGGUUGAUAGUACCGGAAGAGGAAGGGACGGCUAACUUCGUGCCAGCAGCCGCGGUAAUACGAAGGUCCCGAGCGUUGUUCGGAAUCACUGGGCGUAAAGGGAGCGUAGGCGGCGCGGUAAGUCAGAUGUGAAAUCCUAGGGCUCAACCCUGGAACUGCAUCCGAUACUGCUGUGCUUGAGCAAUGGAGAGGUAGCCGGAAUUCUCGGUGUAGCAGUGAAAUGCGUAGAUAUCGAGAGGAACACUCGUGGCGAAAGCGGGCUACUGGACAUUUGCUGACGCUGAGGCUCGAAGGCCGGGGGAGCGAAAGGGAUUAGAAACCCUUGUAGUCC
Molecule: ribosomal RNA, 450 nt
Filed under: uncultured bacterium
Lineage: Bacteria
Description: partial 16S ribosomal RNA
Rfam family: Bacterial small subunit ribosomal RNA
Source: RNAcentral